RNAcentral lists this ribosomal RNA (424 nucleotides) under uncultured bacterium. RNAcentral's name for it is "bacterial SSU rRNA". It matches the Rfam family "Bacterial small subunit ribosomal RNA", at positions 954 to 1380 of the family's 1533-position model. The record is from RNAcentral.
GCACAACGCGAAGAACCUUACCGGGGCUUGACAUAAUACUGAAUAUACUAGAGAUAGUAUAGUCCUUCGGGACAGUAUUACAGGUGGUGCAUGGUUGUCGUCAGCUCGUGUCGUGAGAUGUUGGGUUAAGUCCCGCAACGAGCGCAACCCUUGUUGUUAGUUGCCAGCAUUAAGUUGGGCACUCUAACGAGACUGCCGGUGAUAAAUCGGAGGAAGGUGGGGACGACGUCAAAUCAUCAUGCCCCUUAUGUCCCGGGCUACACACGUACUACAAUGGCUAUUACAGAAGGAAGCGAAGCCGUAAGGUGGAGCAAAUCCCCAAAGAUAGUCCCAGUUCGGAUUGUGGGCUGCAACUCGCCCACAUGAAGUCGGAAUUGCUAGUAAUGGUGCAUCAGCUACGGCACCGUGAAUACGUUCCCGGGUC